UCCCUCAACCCCGCCACCUCCAACAAACUCCGGAUCGGAUCCAUCACCGGAUCUCCCUCAGGAUGGAGGAGGAGCGUUGCGGAUGCAGCUUGAUUAGAACGCAGCUGCAGAGAAGUGGAAAUCUCCUCCUCUACCAGAGGACCGCUUCGCCCUCAUGUGCGGGUCCUCACGCCGGAGAGCUCGUCAGCAGGGAGAG
Asparagus officinalis (garden asparagus) is the source of this 196-nucleotide long non-coding RNA. RefSeq lists it as uncharacterized. The record is from RefSeq and is a predicted model, not a curated record. The transcript is spliced from 3 exons. NCBI's taxonomy places the organism in Eukaryota, Viridiplantae, Streptophyta, Magnoliopsida, Asparagales, Asparagaceae.